Molecule: ribosomal RNA, 443 nt
Filed under: uncultured bacterium
Lineage: Bacteria
Description: partial 16S ribosomal RNA
Rfam family: Bacterial small subunit ribosomal RNA
Source: RNAcentral
CCUACGGGUGGCAGCAGUGAGGAAUAUUGGUCAAUGGCCGGAAGGCUGAACCAGCCAUGCCGCGUGAAGGUCAGUGCCCUAUGGGCGUUAAACUUCUUUUCUGAGGGACGAAGAAAGUGACGGUACCUCAGGAAUAAGCCACGGCUAACUACGUGCCAGCAGCCGCGGUAAUACGUAGGUGGCAAGCGUUAUCCGGAUUUAUUGGGUGUAAAGGGCGUGUAGGCGGGAAAGCAAGUCAGAUGUGAAAACUCAGGGCUCAACCCUGAGCCUGCAUUUGAAACUGUUUUUCUUGAGUGCUGGAGAGGCAAUCGGAAUUCCGUGUGUAGCGGUGAAAUGCGUAGAUAUACGGAGGAACACCAGUGGCGAAGGCGGAUUGCUGGACAGUAACUGACGCUGAGGCGCGAAAGCGUGGGGAGCAAACAGGAUUAGAUACCCCUGUAGUC